AUCUUACAUCAUUUAUUUUGUUAUUUCCUAUACAGGGCAGGGACUUUUCUUGGACAGAGAAGCUGAGAAGUAUCAGAUAAAGAUGACCUGCAUGUACUGGAAAAUAAUCUGUGGUUUAUAUGUAGGCGGAUGGAAGCAAACCAGGGAACAAAAGAAGAAUUUGUAGUUCACAGCCACAUGAGAUAGUCAAGUGUUAAAAGGGAAAAAGAGCUAUCGAAGGCAGGAAGCAAAAUGCCUUCAGAGAUAAAAGGUUAUUCGUGGCUGAGUGAAAAAAAUGGACAAUGAGCAGAAAAU
Molecule: long non-coding RNA, 294 nt
Filed under: Homo sapiens (human)
Lineage: Eukaryota; Metazoa; Chordata; Mammalia; Primates; Hominidae
Description: non-protein coding LINC02508:7
Source: RNAcentral